AGCGAACGCUGGCGGCAGGCCUAACACAUGCAAGUCGAACGAACUCUUCAGAGUUAGUGGCGGACGGGUGAGUAACACGUGGGAACGUGCCUUUUGGUUCGGAAUAACUCAGGGAAACUUGUGCUAAUACCGAAUGUGCCCUUCGGGGGAAAGAUUUAUCGCCAUUAGAGCGGCCCGCGUCUGAUUAGCUAGUUGGUGAGGUAACGGCUCACCAAGGCGACGAUCAGUAGCUGGUCUGAGAGGAUGACCAGCCACACUGGGACUGAGACACGGCCCAGACUCCUACGGGAGGCAGCAGUGGGGAAUCUUGCGCAAUGGGCGAAAGCCUGACGCAGCCAUGCCGCGUGAAUGAUGAAGGUCUUAGGAUUGUAAAAUUCUUUCACCGGGGACGAUAAUGACGGUACCCGGAGAAGAAGCCCCGGCUAACUUCGU
This 432-nucleotide ribosomal RNA is filed under the name uncultured bacterium. RNAcentral's name for it is "partial 16S ribosomal RNA". It matches the Rfam family "Bacterial small subunit ribosomal RNA", at positions 29 to 506 of the family's 1533-position model. The record is from RNAcentral.